GACGAACGCUGGCGGCGCUCCUAACACAUGCAAGUCGAACGAGCGAGAGAGAGCUUGCCUUCUCGAGCGAGUGGCGAACGGGUGAGUAACGCGUGAGGAACCUGCCUCAAAGAGGGGGACAACAGUUGGAAACGACUGCUAAUACCGCAUAAGCCCACAGGUCGGCAUCGACCAGAGGGAAAAGGAGCAAUCCGCUUUGAGAUGGCCUCGCGUCCGAUUAGCUAGUUGGUGAGGUAACGGCCCACCAAGGCGACGAUCGGUAGCCGGACUGAGAGGUUGAACGGCCACAUUGGGACUGAGACACGGCCCAGACUCCUACGGGAGGCAGCAGUGGGGAAUAUUGCACAAUGGGGGAAACCCUGAUGCAGCGACGCCGCGUGGAGGAAGAAGGUCUUCGGAUUGUAAACUCCUGUUGUUGAGGAAGAUGAUGACGGUACUCAACAAGGAAGUGACGGCUAACUACGUGCCAGCAGCCGCGGUAAAACGUAGGUCACAAGCGCUGUCCGGAAUUACUGGGUGUAAAGGGAGCGCAGGCGGGAAGACAAGUUGGAAGUGAAAUCUAUGGGCUCAACCCAUAAACUGCUUUCAAAACUGUUUUUCUUGAGUAGUGCAGAGGUAGGCGGAAUUCCCGGUGUAGCGGUGGAAUGCGUAGAUAUCGGGAGGAACACCAGUGGCGAAGGCGGCCUACUGGGCACCAACUGACGCUGAGGCUCGAAAGUGUGGGUAGCAAACAGG
This 735-nucleotide ribosomal RNA is filed under the name uncultured bacterium. RNAcentral's name for it is "bacterial SSU rRNA". It matches the Rfam family "Bacterial small subunit ribosomal RNA", at positions 28 to 776 of the family's 1533-position model. The record is from RNAcentral.